ACAUAGUGAGUUUUUGGCCAACGUCAGCACCAUCACCUCAGAUUAUUCCACCACAUCGUCUGCUACAUACUUGACUAGCCUGGACUCCAGUAGACUGAGCCCUGAGGUGCAGUCGUGGCAGAGAGCAAGGGGGACGAGGCAGACGACGAGAAAAGCGAACUGAUCCUUGAAGGGCGGCCUGUGGAAACCGACAGCGGGAACGAGUUUCCCAUUUUCCCCACAGCUUUGACUUCGGAGAGGCUUUUCCGAGGAAAACUGCAAAAAGUGACUAAGAGCAGCCGGAGAAAUUCUGAAUGAAGUGAAGUAAGUUGCACCGAGGGAAGUUUAACAUCAAGUUUAGAUAGCCGGAGACAGCUCUUCAGUUCCCAUAAACUCAUCACAUGUGAUAUUCUCUCCAGGAAAAAAUCAGCGAGAUUCAAGUCAGACAGUGGAAGUCUAGGAGAUGCCAAGAACGAGAAAGAAACACCUUCAUUAACUAAAGUGUUUGAUGUUAUGAAAAAAGGAAAGUCAACUGUGAGUUUACUGACACCCACCAGAGGUGGAUCCGAAAAACAGGAAUCCACAUGGAAAACGAAAAAAGCAGAUCAGCUAAAACUGAGACCCAGAGCCCCUGCGGAUGACGUGUUUGGAGUAGGGAAUCACAAAGCGAAUGCCGCGACUGCUAAAAGGAAAAGCACCCGGCGCAGACAUACGCUAGGAGGGCACAGAGAUGCUACUGAAAUCAGCGUUUGGAAUUUUUGGAAAGCGCAUGAGCGGAGUUGGGAGAGAGAAUCUGAACUUUCAGCUGUAAGCCGGUUAAAACCAAAAUGCUCAGCCCAGGACGUUUCCAUCUCAGACUGGCUGGCCAGGAAUUGCCUACACACUAGUACCUCUGACCUUAGCAGCGGAGAAAGCGGAGAUCCCCAGGCAGAGAACCCAAGGACACGAGAAAUAGCCACGACCGACACACCUUUGGCUUGUCAGUACGACACAGGCAGUUCUUCCAGCACCUUGGCUUCAACAAACAGGCCCCUUCUUUCCAUACCACCGCAGUCACCUGACCAAAUAAACGGAGAAAGCUUCCAGAACGUGAGCAAAAAUGCUAGUUCUGCAGCGAAUGCCCAACCUCAUAAACUGUCUGAAACCUCAGGCAAUAAAUCACAAUUUCAUCCCUGUCUUUAA
This 1161-nucleotide long non-coding RNA is filed under the name Homo sapiens (human). Its description in RNAcentral is "non-protein coding lnc-TVP23A-3:1". Lineage: Eukaryota; Metazoa; Chordata; Mammalia; Primates; Hominidae. The record is from RNAcentral.